AGGUUCUUGAUGGUAAGCCAUACAAUAGAAGAUGUGAUGUUUGCAUCUUUGGGAUAUGUUUAAGGGAGAUUUAUUGUUGUGCUAUGCCUUUUCCUGAUCUCAGCUUUGCUGAUGUUUCUUCUGCCGUUGUUCGUCAGAAUAUGUGACUGAAAUACCGAGAUGUUGUCCGACAACAGAGUUAGCAUGCGGCGAUCAAUCAAUUAUAGAUAAAUUUGGAUAGAAAAAAAGAGACCAAUUGUUAGAAACCUAUCAAAAAAAUCACUAUCCGAGUUGGAAUAACCAGCUUUUGAUGUUUGACAAUUUAUAGAAGUAUAUGAGAAACAAUUAUAUUUUAUCGUUACGACCUUAAAAACAGUAUAGCACAUGUUACUACUACAAGCAGAUAAUGAAGUUUGUUUCAUAACUUAGCAAA
Long non-coding RNA from Brassica napus (rape), 412 nucleotides. RefSeq lists it as uncharacterized. The record is from RefSeq and is a predicted model, not a curated record. The transcript is spliced from 2 exons. Lineage: Eukaryota; Viridiplantae; Streptophyta; Magnoliopsida; Brassicales; Brassicaceae.